RNAcentral lists this ribosomal RNA (451 nucleotides) under uncultured bacterium. Its description in RNAcentral is "partial 16S ribosomal RNA". It matches the Rfam family "Bacterial small subunit ribosomal RNA", at positions 354 to 796 of the family's 1533-position model. The record is from RNAcentral.
GUGGGGAAUAUUGGACAAUGGGGGGAACCCUGAUCCAGCCAUGCCGCGUGUGUGAAGAAGGCCUUUUGGUUGUAAAGCACUUUAAGCGAGGAGGAGGCUACCGAGAUUAAUACUCUUGGAUAGUGGACGUUACUCGCAGAAUAAGCACCGGCUAACUCUGUGCCAGCAGCCGCGGUAAUACAGAGGGUGCAAGCGUUAAUCGGAUUUACUGGGCGUAAAGCGCGCGUAGGUGGCCAAUUAAGUCAAAUGUGAAAUCCCCGAGCUUAACUUGGGAAUUGCAUUCGAUACUGGUUGGCUAGAGUAUGGGAGAGGAUGGUAGAAUUCCAGGUGUAGCGGUGAAAUGCGUAGAGAUCUGGAGGAAUACCGAUGGCGAAGGCAGCCAUCUGGCCUAAUACUGACACUGAGGUGCGAAACCAUGGGGAGCAAACAGGAUUAGAUACCCUUGUAGUCC